CCUACGGGGGGCAGCAGUGGGGAAUAUUGCACAAUGGGGGAAACCCUGAUGCAGCGACGCCGCGUGAAUGAAGAAGUAUUUCGGUAUGUAAACUUCUAUCAGCAGGGAAGAAAAUGACGGUACCUGACUAAGAAGCCCCGGCUAACUACGUGCCAGCAGCCGCGGUAAUACGUAGGGGGCAAGCGUUAUCCGGAUUUACUGGGUGUAAAGGGAGCGUAGACGGUAUAGCAAGUCAGCAGUGAAAGACCGGGGCUCAACUCCCGGACUGCUUUUGAAACUGUUCGACUAGAGUGCAGGAGAGGUAAGUGGAAUUCCUAGUGUAGCGGUGAAAUGCUUAGAUAUUACGCGGAACACCAGUUGCGAAGGCGGCUUACCGGACUGUAAAUGACGCUGAGGCUCGAAAGCGUGGGGAUCAAACAGGAUUAGAUACCCUUGUAGUC
This 440-nucleotide ribosomal RNA is filed under the name uncultured bacterium. Its description in RNAcentral is "partial 16S ribosomal RNA". It matches the Rfam family "Bacterial small subunit ribosomal RNA", at positions 338 to 795 of the family's 1533-position model. The record is from RNAcentral.